AAGGAGAGAUCAGACGGCAAAACGGACAUCACUUUUGAACUCAGGACGGUCGAAAACCUUAGGAGGAGCAUAAAAGGAAAAAUGACACUAUUCACAUGUACGGUACUAUUCACGUGUACGGUACUGUAUACGUUACUGUUUACGACACUGUUCACAUAGACGGAUGAUGACGUGGCAUUGACCGAUGAUGUGGCAUUGACUGAUGAGGUGUCACGAUCCUGUUGGACUAAAAUUCUUAUGUACUGUUGAUGGUGACGUGGCAGCAUAUCAGUGGACGAAAAAUCUCGCGUACGGUGCAUGCAUCACACAGGAUUAUUUUCAACCAAACCGCGUUACUGUUCAUCCGGGUCAAACCGCGUUACUGUUCAAAGUCGGGUCAAACCGUGUUACUGUUCAUCCGCGUGGUCAAACCGUGGACUGUUGACUGAUGACGUGGCGCAAUCCUGAGCGUCCAAACUGUUUUUAAUCCGAUGGCCAUGAUUUACUCCAUGUAUCUAUAAAAAGGGGGCCUCCCCCCCUAAUUUGAGAUCUCUGAAUCCAUUUUUGGGAUUCAUUUUCUGUAAUUCCCUCUCCAUCUUGUAUUUUCUUCGUAUUUUAAUAAAUUCCCAUUUUGCCCCUAGUUCAAUUAUGAGUGGCUAAUUUUCUUUCAAGCUUGGGUUGAAGGUGAAGUCUCAACAUGUGUCAUGGGCUUAAUUUGGUAAAUUUACUUUCUCUUCCCCUCUAGUUUUUGUGGAUGUUUUGACUUCUCGUCGACAAAUAAUACUAAUCUUGUCUAGUACCGCCUUGGUUACACCGGCUCUCUAGUAUAAGGUUAUUAUUAUUUGGCACGAUAAGCCCUUAGCACCAUAUUGAUUAGAGCGUGGUUCAUGAGGUGUGGAUUCCCCCCUCAUGAUUUAAUUAGCAUUAAUACGGAUUAUUUAGCCCAUGAUGCAUGUUGAUACGGAUCCAGAUACCCAAGUACGUCAUUUCAAUAGAAUUAUCUUCAAUUUAUUCUCGCCAUUUUAAUUUAAGUUUUAGCAUAUACCAAAUCAUUUCCACCAUAAAUCCAACAACCCAUUUACAAAAUUAAUUCUACACAAUUAAAAUCCACCUCCUCGUGGGAUCGACACUCGUCACCAUAGAUCUAUACUACAAUAGAUUCGUGCGCUUGCGAGUACAUUAAAAUUUGCACAACACCCAUUAGCAUCACUGUAAUGUCUUUAAGUUUGUCGAAAAGCCUUUAAUUCUGAAUACUUGUCAUAGAAGCGCUGAUGCCACCCUUUAAAUUACACCAAACUCCAUUUAGUAAGGGCAGACACAGUUUUUGCAACCUUAUAUUGGAAAAGCCAAACAGGAUCACCCUGAGUAGCAGCACCUAUCCAACAAUCACUGACUAGACCUGUACAAGCUAGAUAAGCCUUCCAGUCCACUUCUAGAUAAGCCUUCCAGUCCACUUCUUAAUGAAAACGAGCCUUCAACCUUCUAUCUUGCAAAGAGUCCUCUGAACCAGUAAUAUCUAAAAGAAUAGGACAAUAAUCCAAUCACCAAAAAUCAAGAUAAGUAACUAUUGAACAUUAGCCCAAAUCUUGUCAAGCACAGUUACUAAAAAACAUGUCUAGGCAUUCCUCCACCAAACCCACAUCAUGCCACCGAUUAGCCCAAGUUAGGGUUGGCACUAUAUGGUUCGGUUAGGUUUAGAUAGAAAAUCGAACCGAACUGAAACUGAUUGGUCCUCUCAAAUUAAAACCGAAUGCAACCCAAAAUUUAAAACCAAACCGAACCGAUGGUUGUGUGGUGCGAGAAGAGCGGUUGCCAACUGCGUGUAUGGUGUUAGAGAGGAGCAGUUUCCAGUGGCAGAAAUAGGAUAUGCUGAUCAGAGUGUGAGAGUGUGUUGUCGCUGUGUUUGAGAGAUGAGUGUGUGAGAUUUAGGUUUCCGUUCAAUUUACCAAUAUAUAUAUAUAUAUAUAUAUGAUAUUAAAAUAUUUUUAUUUUUAAAUGAAAGAACCCAAUGGUUUUUUGGUUCAAUUCGGUUUUGAGCUGAAUCAAAUACAAACCAAUCGGUUCUUUAAUUUCCAAACCAUUGGGUUUUAUCUUUAAAACUAAAUCGAACCGAAUCGAAAAAUAUUGGUUCAGUUUGGUUCAGUUCGAUAAAAACCGAACUGAAUGCCCACUCGUAGCCCAAGUAUAUAGGCACCCCACAAAUCCCAUAUCAGUUAAUUCACAAUCCUAAAAAAAAGAAAGAGAUUGUACACCAAGGUGGCCAUUGUCUUUGUACAAUUUUAAGGUAGAAUUAGCAAUAAAUGCAUGGAUGGGGAUAUUUCCACCCCAUUAUUUGUGUAAACCCACUCCACUUCUAAAAAAUAUUUAAAAUAAAUGCACAUUCUUUUAUAAUA
RNAcentral lists this long non-coding RNA (2372 nucleotides) under Citrus x clementina. RNAcentral's name for it is "Citrus clementina (C. clementina) long non-coding RNA (CCLE_LNC002528)". The record is from RNAcentral. Lineage: Eukaryota; Viridiplantae; Streptophyta; Magnoliopsida; Sapindales; Rutaceae.